Molecule: ribosomal RNA, 724 nt
Filed under: uncultured archaeon
Lineage: Archaea
Description: bacterial SSU rRNA
Rfam family: Archaeal small subunit ribosomal RNA
Source: RNAcentral
UUAAGCCAUGCGAGUUAAUGUUCUUCGUGAACAUAGCAGACUGCUCAGUAACACGUGGAUAACCUGCCCUUAGGACUGGCAUAACCCCGGGAAACUGGGGAUAAUUCCGGAUAGAUCAUAAAUGCUGGAAUGCUUUAUGAUUGAAAGGUUUCGACCGCCUUAGGAUGGAUCUGCGGCCUAUCAGGUUGUAGUGGGUGUAAUGUACCUACUAGCCUACGACGGGUACGGGUUGUGGAAGCAAGAGCCCGGAGAUGGAUUCUGAGACAUGAAUCCGGGCCCUACGGGGCGCAGCAGGCGCGAAAACUUUACAAUGCGGGAAACCGUGAUAAGGGAACACUGAGUGCUAGCAUUUAUGUUAGCUGUCCACAUGUGUAAAUAGCAUGUGAUAGCAAGGGCUGGGCAAGACCGGUGCCAGCCGCCGCGGUAACACCGGCAGCCCGAGUGGUGAUCACUAUUAUUGGGCCUAAAGGGUCCGUAGCCGGUUUAAUCAGUCUUCUGGGAAAUCUAAUCGCUUAACUAUUAGGCUUCCAGGGGAUACUGUUAGACUUGGGACCGGGAGAGGUAAGAGGUACUGCAGGGGUAGGAGUGAAAUCUUGUAAUCCCUGUGAGACCACCAGUGGCGAAGGCGUCUUACCAGGACGGGUCCGACGGUGAGGGACGAAAGCUGGGGGCACGAACCGGAUUAGAUACCCGGGUAGUCCCAGCUGUAAACGAUGCUCGUUAG